CCUACGGGAGGCUGCAGUGGGGAAUAUUGGACAAUGGGCGCAAGCCUGAUCCAGCCAUGCCGCGUGAGUGAUGAAGGCCUUAGGGUUGUAAAGCUCUUUUGCCGGGGACGAUAAUGACGGUACCCGGAGAAUAAGUCCCGGCUAACUUCGUGCCAGCAGCCGCGGUAAUACGAAGGGGACUAGCGUUGUUCGGAAUCACUGGGCGUAAAGCGCACGUAGGCGGAUAUGCCAGUCAGGGGUGAAAUCCCGGGGCUCAACCUCGGAACUGCCCUUGAUACAGCAUGUCUUGAGUCCGAUAGAGGUGGGUGGAAUUCCUAGUGUAGAGGUGAAAUUCGUAGAUAUUAGGAAGAACACCAGUGGCGAAGGCGGCCCACUGGAUCGGUACUGACGCUGAGGUGCGAAAGCGUGGGGAGCAAACAGGAUUAGAUACCCCAGUAGUC
RNAcentral lists this ribosomal RNA (440 nucleotides) under uncultured Hyphomicrobium sp. Its description in RNAcentral is "bacterial SSU rRNA". It matches the Rfam family "Bacterial small subunit ribosomal RNA", at positions 338 to 795 of the family's 1533-position model. The record is from RNAcentral. Lineage: Bacteria; Pseudomonadati; Pseudomonadota; Alphaproteobacteria; Hyphomicrobiales; Hyphomicrobiaceae.